RNAcentral lists this small RNA (146 nucleotides) under Thermanaeromonas toyohensis. Its description in RNAcentral is "c-di-AMP sequence". It matches the Rfam family "c-di-AMP riboswitch aptamer (ydaO/yuaA leader)". Rfam says of the family: This family represents a conserved RNA structure found upstream of the ydaO and yuaA genes in Bacillus subtilis and related genes in other bacteria. The ydaO/yuaA element is thought to act as a genetic "off" switch for the ydaO and yuaA genes in its native state. RNAcentral also lists the same sequence under 1 other name. Lineage: Bacteria; Bacillati; Bacillota; Clostridia; Neomoorellales; Neomoorellaceae. The record is from RNAcentral.
AAAAUAGAGGCGCUGAAUUCCCUUAAAUCUUAGGGAAGCGGGGGACCCGUAUUUUGGGGUGAAUCCCGGGAAAUUUGGUUCCCGGGUAGGGCCGCCCCUGGGCCCGAACCCGUCAGCUAACCCCGUAAGCGCAAGGUAGGGGAUUG